GACGAACGCUGGCGGCGUGCUUAACACAUGCAAGUCGAACGGAAAGGCCCUGCUUUUGUGGGGUGCUCGAGUGGCGAACGGGUGAGUAACACGUGAGUAACCUGCCCUUGACUUUGGGAUAACUUCAGGAAACUGGUGCUAAUACCGGAUAGGAGCUCCUGCUGCAUGGUGGGGGUUGGAAAGUUUCGGCGGUUGGGGAUGGACUCGCGGCUUAUCAGCUUGUUGGUGGGGUAGUGGCUUACCAAGGGUUUGACGGGUAGCCGGCCUGAGAGGGUGAACGGCCACAUUGGGACUGAGAUACGGCCCAGACUCCUACGGGAGGCAGCAGUGGGGAAUAUUGCACAAUGGGCGGAAGCCUGAUGAAGAAACGCCGCGUGCGGGAUGACGGCCUUCGGGUUGUAAACCGCUUUCGCCUGUGACGAAGCGUGAGUGACGGUAAUGGGUAAAGAAGCACCGGCUAACUACGUG
RNAcentral lists this ribosomal RNA (468 nucleotides) under uncultured bacterium. RNAcentral's name for it is "partial 16S ribosomal RNA". It matches the Rfam family "Bacterial small subunit ribosomal RNA", at positions 28 to 507 of the family's 1533-position model. The record is from RNAcentral.